AUUGAACGCUGGCGGCAGGCCUAACACAUGCAAGUCGAGCGCGCGGCGGACGGGUGAGUAAUGUCUGUGAAACUGCCUGCUGGAGGGGGAUAUCUCCUGGAAACGGUAGCUAAUACCGCAUACCCUCUGAUGUGCCCAGAUGGGAUUAGCUGGUAGGUGGGGUAACGGCUCACCUAGGCGACGAUCCCUAGCUGGUCUGAGAGGAUGACCAGCCACACUGGAACUGAGACACGGUCCAGACUCCUACGGGAGGCAGCAGUGGGGAAUAUUGCACAAUGGGCGCAAGCCUGAUACAGCCAUGCCGCGUGUGUGAAGAAGGCCUUCGGGUUGUAAAGCACUUUCAGCGGGGAGGCGUUACCCGCAGAAGAAGCACCGGCUAACUCCGUGCCAGCAGCCGCGGUAAUAC
RNAcentral lists this ribosomal RNA (406 nucleotides) under uncultured bacterium. RNAcentral's name for it is "partial 16S ribosomal RNA". It matches the Rfam family "Bacterial small subunit ribosomal RNA", at positions 30 to 526 of the family's 1533-position model. The record is from RNAcentral.